RNAcentral lists this long non-coding RNA (613 nucleotides) under Numida meleagris (helmeted guineafowl). RNAcentral describes it as "lncRNA (ENSNMEG00000023212.1)". Lineage: Eukaryota; Metazoa; Chordata; Aves; Galliformes; Numididae. The record is from RNAcentral.
CAGAUUCUAUGAAAUGCAUGAAGCAGAAGAGUUUUUAAAACAACAUUUGAAAUUUAGUCCCGUGCUGAAUGAAAACAUAACAGGUUCUAAGCGAGGAGAAUAAUCUAACAAUUGGGUUUAGCGUCAGUUUACAUAUAAUUAGUGCAAAAUUAGGCAUCUAUUGGUAUUUUAAAUUAAAGAAGAAAAUAAUGUUUCCAGAGCGUAGAGAAUUUUCUGUUAGAACUGGCACUUGGUGAAAAGGAAGCUGGGCAUCCCUGGAAACAACUUGGCUCGCAGCAGAAAGAACAGGAGCAAAACAUCCUAGUGCUAAGUGGAGCGACUGCUGGCCGUGGUUUUGCAGCGUGGAUGAACGUGAUUCAAGAGCUCCAACACAACCUGAUUUUUUUUGUUUCACCAUCCCCACACCUGGAAUUUAGGUCAGCCGGGCUCAUUUCAGGCAAAGCAAGCUGUGAGCGGUGUGCCUCAGUGCCAGCCCCCGCACUGUUAGCAGGAGCUGCCUCUCUGCCUGAUUGCAAAGAACUCAGUCUGGGAUCGACCUUCCCCAGGGCAAUCUGCUCAUCCUGAAGCCAUCUCUGCAUAAUGGUUCUGCAAUAAACAGAUGUGAUCAACAGCA